GCAAUGAUGACUGAGCAGUUUUGACAGAGAUGAAAAAACACAACUUAAACCUCUAAGAAGUUCUGAGCUC
Small nucleolar RNA from Nerophis ophidion (straightnose pipefish), 70 nucleotides. RefSeq annotates it as small nucleolar RNA SNORD61. The transcript has a single exon. NCBI's taxonomy places the organism in Eukaryota, Metazoa, Chordata, Actinopteri, Syngnathiformes, Syngnathidae. The record is from RefSeq and is a predicted model, not a curated record.